UACGUAGGGGGCUAGCGUUGUCCGGAUUUAUUGGGCGUAAAGAGCGUGUAGGCGGCCAGGUAGGUCUGCUGUGAAAACUCGAGGCUCAACCUCGAGACGUCGGCGGAAACCAUCUGGCUAGAGUCCGGAAGAGGAGAGUGGAAUUCCUGGUGUAGCGGUGAAAUGCGCAGAUAUCAGGAAGAACACCCGUGGCGAAGGCGGGUCUCUGGACAGUUCCUGACACUGAGACACGAAGGCCAGGGGAGCAAACGGG
Molecule: ribosomal RNA, 253 nt
Filed under: uncultured bacterium
Lineage: Bacteria
Description: partial 16S ribosomal RNA
Rfam family: Bacterial small subunit ribosomal RNA
Source: RNAcentral